UACGGAGGGGGCUAGCGUUGUUCGGAAUCACUGGGCGUAAAGCGCACGUAGGCGGAUUUGUAAGUCAGGGGUGAAAUCCCGGGGCUCAACCUCGGAACUGCCUUUGAUACUGCGAGUCUUGAGUCCGAUAGAGGUGGGUGGAAUUCCUAGUGUAGAGGUGAAAUUCGUAGAUAUUAGGAAGAACACCAGUGGCGAAGGCGGCUUACUGGUC
Molecule: ribosomal RNA, 211 nt
Filed under: uncultured bacterium
Lineage: Bacteria
Description: partial 16S ribosomal RNA
Rfam family: Bacterial small subunit ribosomal RNA
Source: RNAcentral